GUUAUUUUCGCCCUCCGAGUUUCCUGCGUCUGCAACCGACGCUACCUCGGGGUUUCAUAAUUGUAAUUAAACUGAAGAGGCUGCCUUGUGUGCGCUUGUUAUUCUUGAAGGUAAGAAGCAUUAUUUAAUUCUUAAUAAUAUUCGAACAGCAACAUGCUUUUAUUCUAAAUUGAAAAUCUGGUUUGGUGUGGAUGUAUUCCUGGAGAUUUAUGCUGCUGGGUUUAUUAGUUGCAAGAUCAGGGCAAUAAUCAUGUGUAUUUUAUGGUGAAACAAAAUUAUGCUCCCAAGAUGUUUUAGCUUGCUGCGUUUAAGCAGCAGAUUUCACUGGAAAAGGAAAAACCUCAGCUAAUAAGAUUACAUCAGUGUAUUUGGAAUAGGAACAAAAGCCAAGCAAUUACAAAUAGAAUAAUAACAAACUAAUUAUGCCCACAACUUCCUCUUAAAGAUUGAUUGUUUGAAGGAGUACUGUGAGAAACUGUAGCAAGAUAAUACUAACAAAAAAUACAGUUUGACAGUUUUGGCUUAUUAGCUAUUAUUAAUUGAAUGUGAGUUGUGCGUUGUUUCUUAUUAUUGCUUACAAAGAAUAAAAAUGGCUUGAAUCAUUAGCUACCA
Molecule: long non-coding RNA, 612 nt
Filed under: Struthio camelus australis
Lineage: Eukaryota; Metazoa; Chordata; Aves; Struthioniformes; Struthionidae
Description: lncRNA (ENSSCUG00000016761.1)
Source: RNAcentral